This 252-nucleotide ribosomal RNA is filed under the name uncultured bacterium. RNAcentral's name for it is "partial 16S ribosomal RNA". It matches the Rfam family "Bacterial small subunit ribosomal RNA", at positions 524 to 776 of the family's 1533-position model. The record is from RNAcentral.
UACGUAGGGGGCUAGCGUUAUCCGGAAUUACUGGGCGUAAAGGGUGCGUAGGUGGUUUCUUAAGUCAGAGGUGAAAGGCUACGGCUCAACCGUAGUAAGCCUUUGAAACUGGGGAACUUGAGUGCAGGAGAGGAGAGUGGAAUUCCUAGUGUAGCGGUGAAAUGCGUAGAUAUUAGGAGGAACACCAGUUGCGAAGGCGGCUCUCUGGACUGUAACUGACGCUGAGGCUCGAAAGCGUGGGGAGCAAACAGG